Solanum tuberosum (potato) is the source of this 462-nucleotide long non-coding RNA. RefSeq lists it as uncharacterized. Lineage: Eukaryota; Viridiplantae; Streptophyta; Magnoliopsida; Solanales; Solanaceae. The transcript is spliced from 2 exons. The record is from RefSeq and is a predicted model, not a curated record.
CUUCUUAUGCUUCCUCCUCAUUUCAUCCAAUGAGAUGCAAGGUGCUGAGGGCAAAACUUGUCGAUGGAGGAGCAAGGAAUAUCGUACCCGUUAUUGCUUAUUGAGUGAUACUUGUUUCAUAAAGUGCAAACAAGAGUAUUCCAAGGCAAUUAAGGGUGAAUGCAUUAGAAAAAGCACUUUUUCUCGUUAUUGUUAUUGUUGGCGCAAGUGUUAAGAAGCAUCAAAUCUUCUCACAUUAUGUACUAUAGAAAUUAUGAUAAAUAAAAAAUUAAUGGUGUGGUUAUCUUGUGUCAUGUGUGAAAGAAUAAAAACACUAUCAAUUCAUUAGAAUUGUAGUAGUGAUAGUAAGGAAAUAGUUCUAUAUUUUCUUCUUGGGGUAUGUACUAUAGUUUUUUUUUUUUUUAUGUCAUGUGAAGUAAUCUAAAUAAUUUAAAUAAAUUGUUCGUUGGUUAUUUUCAUUGA